AACGAACGCUGGCGGCAGGCCUAACACAUGCAAGUCGAGCGAGGACUUCGGUUCUAGCGGCGGACGGGUGAGUAACGCGUGGGAAUGUGCCCUUCUCUACGGAAUAGCCCUGGGAAACUGGGGGUAAUACCGUAUACGCCCUAUUGGGGAAAGAUUUAUCGGAGAAGGAUCAGCCCGCGUUGGAUUAGGUAGUUGGUGGGGUAAUGGCCUACCAAGCCGACGAUCCAUAGCUGGUUUGAGAGGAUGAUCAGCCACACUGGGACUGAGACACGGCCCAGACUCCUACGGGAGGCAGCAGUGGGGAAUCUUAGACAAUGGGGGCAACCCUGAUCUAGCCAUGCCGCGUGAGUGAUGAAGGCCUUAGGGUUGUAAAGCUCUUUCAGCUGGGAAGAUAAUGACGGUACCAGCAGAAGAAGCCCCGGCUAACUCCGUG
Molecule: ribosomal RNA, 433 nt
Filed under: uncultured bacterium
Lineage: Bacteria
Description: partial 16S ribosomal RNA
Rfam family: Bacterial small subunit ribosomal RNA
Source: RNAcentral